RNAcentral lists this ribosomal RNA (994 nucleotides) under Synoecnema watinagii. RNAcentral's name for it is "eukaryotic LSU rRNA". It matches the Rfam family "Eukaryotic large subunit ribosomal RNA", at positions 97 to 908 of the family's 3401-position model. Lineage: Eukaryota; Metazoa; Nematoda; Chromadorea; Rhabditida; Ungellidae. The record is from RNAcentral.
AACGGGAAGAGCCCAGCGCUAAAUCCUGUUGCUCUAACGGGUAACGGGAGGUGUAGCGUAAAGUAGGCGGAUUUCCAUGUUGGCUGUUGAUUUAAAUUCUCCUUGACUGGGGUUCCAGAGAAGGUGAAAGGCCUGUUCAAUUGACGRUCAAUUGUGGAUUCUCCGUCCGACUUGGAGUCGGGUUGUUUGGGAACACAGCCCAAAUUUGGUGGUAAACUUCAUCUAAGGCUAAAUAUGGCCACGAAACCGAUAGCAAACAAGUACCGUGAGGGAAAGUUGAAAAGUACUUUGAAGAGAGAGUUCAAGAGGACGUGAAACCGGUAGGAUGGAAACGGAUAAAGCCAACGGACAAGCCCGUAUUCAGCUAGUCGGUUGCGUGCGACAUUCGCGGGUGCCCGAAAGGGUACACGUUGGUGUGCAUGGUGUGCAAUUGGCUAGUGCAUUUGCGGGUGAUGUGCGCCGAGGCGUGUGAUCUUGCGCGUUACGAGCCGCCCGGAGAGGCCACGCUUCGCGGUGUGGUACCUACGUGGCCGGUGAGUGGUGUCGGGGUUGCACGUAGUGUGUAUGGGUUAGGUGCAAACGCACUACCGUAUUGACGGUUCGGCGUCUACGCAAGUCGCAUGUCGACGAGUUUGGAUGUUCGGGCUUUUUGAAAUGCGGUCGUGAUCUGGCCUAUCCUCGGUGUAAAAGUUGGUCAUUUCUCCGACCCGUCUUGAAACACGGACCAAGGAGUCUAGCGUGUACGCGAGUCAUUGGGCGUUGAAAACCCAUAGGCGUAAUGAAAGUGAAUGGCUUCGUACGGAGUCUGAUAUGCGAUCCGUUGCGCCACGGUGUGGCGGAGCAGCAUAGCCCCAUCUCGACUGCUUGCAGUGGGGUGGAGGUAGAGCGUAUUCGCUGGUACCCGAAAGAUGGUGAACUAUGCCUGAGCAGGAUGAAGCCAGAGGAAACUCUGGUGGAAGUCCGAAGCGCUUCUGACGUGCAAAUCGAUCGUCUA